RNAcentral lists this unclassified non-coding RNA (203 nucleotides) under Hevea brasiliensis (rubber tree). Lineage: Eukaryota; Viridiplantae; Streptophyta; Magnoliopsida; Malpighiales; Euphorbiaceae. The record is from RNAcentral.
AAAGGUUGAUGGGGAUAAUGAAAAUAAGGAGAUUACAAGGCAUAGAUAUGCAUUUCAGACAAGGAGUCAGAUUGACAUACUUGAUGAUGGUUAUCGAUGGAGGAAAUAUGGGCAGAAGACAGUUAAGAACAGUAAGUUUCCAAGAAGUUACUACAAGUGCACCCAUAAUGGAUGCAGUGUGAAGAAGCAAGUCCAACGCAAUU